RNAcentral lists this ribosomal RNA (328 nucleotides) under uncultured eukaryote. RNAcentral's name for it is "partial 18S ribosomal RNA". It matches the Rfam family "Eukaryotic small subunit ribosomal RNA", at positions 1470 to 1796 of the family's 1831-position model. The record is from RNAcentral.
CCCUUAGAUGUUCUGGGCUGCACGCGCGCUACACUGAUGCGCUCAACGAGUUUAUGACCUUGCCCGGAAGGGUUGGGUAAUCUUUUCAAAACGCAUCGUGAUGGGGAUAGAUUAUUGCAAUUAUUAAUCUUCAACGAGGAAUUCCUAGUAAGCGCGAGUCAUCAGCUCGUGCUGAUUACGUCCCUGCCCUUUGUACACACCGCCCGUCGCUCCUACCGAUUGGGUGUGCUGGUGAAAUGUUCGGAUCGGCCGUUUGUCGCGGUUUCCGCGGCUCGUGGCUGAGAAGUUCAUUAAACCCUCCCACCUAGAGGAAGGAGAAGUCGUAACA